AAUCAAGAGACAAACACUAAAUUUGACACACACAAAAAAAAAAUUACAAAAUCGUUUUACAUCCGUUUCGGCUGCGAAAGAGAUAAGGAAUUUUCUCAAGAUAUUGGAAAGAAGAUUCGUAGUUUAUAACCUACCCAAAGGGAAAUUUAAACGCAAGAGUUUUUUCAAGGUUAAUUGAAAUUUAAGUUUUCGUUUUGUUCAAGGAGUUCAUAGCCAAUGAACCAAUUCUUAAAAGAUUAAAUCUUUAAUGCUUUAAUGGCCAUUAUAUUAACUUUCCAAAAAAGGAAGUUCUACGGCAACUACUUCCUUGUCCAUUAUCUAUAAAUAAAUUUGUAUUUUUUUUUUGUCUAAAU
Molecule: long non-coding RNA, 353 nt
Organism: Episyrphus balteatus (marmalade hoverfly)
Lineage: Eukaryota; Metazoa; Arthropoda; Insecta; Diptera; Syrphidae
Exons: 3
Source: RefSeq, a predicted model, not a curated record